GGGAAGGUAGCUCAGUGGUAGAGUGCUUGCCUUGCAAGCAUGAGGCCCUGGGUUCAAUUCCUCAGCACCA
This is a non-coding RNA of Dipodomys ordii (Ord's kangaroo rat), 70 nucleotides long. The record is from Rfam. NCBI's taxonomy places the organism in Eukaryota, Metazoa, Chordata, Mammalia, Rodentia, Heteromyidae.